GGCUAAUAAAUKGUUGGRACUUGAUCUUGACACAAUCCUACUUGGAAAUUAAAACAUAGGUAGGUAAUUCUAGAGCUAAUACAUGCAUUAAAGCUCUGACCUCACGGGAAGAGUGCAUUUAUUAGAACAAAACCAAGCGGCUUCGGCUGUUUCUGGUUGACUCAUAGUAACUGAGCUGAUCGCAUGGUCUUGCACCGGCGACGUGUCUUUCAAGUAUCUGCCGUAUCAACUUUCGAUGGUAGUGUAUCUGACUACCAUGGUGAUCACGCGUAACGGAGAAUAAGGGUUCGGCUCCGGAGAGUUCGCCUGAGAAAUCGCGAACACAUCUAAGGAAGGCAGCAGGCGCGAAAAUUACCCACUCUCAGCACGAGGAGGUAGUGACGAAAAAUAACGAGACCGUUCUCUUAUGAGGCCGGUCAUCGGAAUGGGUACAAUUUAAACCCUUUAACGAGUAUCUAUGAGAGGGCAAGUCUGGUGCCAGCAGCCGCGGUAAUUCCAGCUCUCAAAGUGCAUAGAAUUAUUGCUGCGGUUAAAAAGCUCGUAGUUGGAUCUGUGCCAUAGGACGUGGUCCACCUUCGGGUGCGUACUACGCUCCUAGGCUUUUUGCUGGUUUUCCCGUCGUAGCCUUCACUGGUUGCGGCGGGUGGCUGGCGAGUUUACUUUGAGAAAAUCAGAGUGCUCAAUACAGGCGUAUCGCUUGAAUGAUUGUGCAUGGAAUAAUAGAAAAGGAUUUCGGUCCUCUUUUAUUGGUUUUGUGGACUGAGAUAAUGGUUAACAGGGACAAACGGGGGCAUUCGUAUCUCUGCGUGAAGAGGUGAAAUUUUUGGACC
Molecule: ribosomal RNA, 830 nt
Filed under: Nematoda environmental sample
Lineage: Eukaryota; Metazoa; Nematoda
Description: SSU rRNA
Rfam family: Eukaryotic small subunit ribosomal RNA
Source: RNAcentral